UGGGGAAUAGCCAAGCGGUAAGGCAGUGGGUUCUGGUCCCACCAUCAGGGGUUCGAAUCCCUUUUCCCCAG
This 71-nucleotide transfer RNA is filed under the name Candidatus Kerfeldbacteria bacterium. Its description in RNAcentral is "tRNA-Gln". It matches the Rfam family "tRNA". From Rfam's summary of the family: Transfer RNA (tRNA) molecules are approximately 80 nucleotides in length. Their secondary structure includes four short double-helical elements and three loops (D, anti-codon, and T loops). Further hydrogen bonds mediate the characteristic L-shaped molecular structure. tRNAs have two regions of fundamental functional importance: the anti-codon, which is responsible for specific mRNA codon recognition, and the 3' end, to which the tRNAs corresponding amino acid is attached (by aminoacyl-tRNA synthetases). tRNAs cope with the degeneracy of the genetic code in two manners: having more than one tRNA (with a specific anti-codon) for a particular amino acid; and 'wobble' base-pairing, i.e. permitting non-standard base-pairing at the 3rd anti-codon position. The record is from RNAcentral. Lineage: Bacteria; Candidatus Kerfeldiibacteriota.